GUGGGGAAUUUUGGACAAUGGGCGCAAGCCUGAUCCAGCAAUGCCGCGUGCAGGAAGAAGGCCUUCGGGUUGUAAACUGCUUUUGUACGGAACGAAACGGUCCUGGUUAAUACCUGGGGCUAAUGACGGUACCGUAAGAAUAAGCACCGGCUAACUACGUGCCAGCAGCCGCGGUAAUACGUAGGGUGCGAGCGUUAAUCGGAAUUACUGGGCGUAAGCGUGCGCAGGCGGUGCUGUAAGACAGGCGUGAAAUCCCCGGGCUCAACCUGGGAAUUGCGCUUGUGACUGCAGUGCUGGAGUACGGCAGAGGGGGAUGGAAUUCCGCGUGUAGCAGUGAAAUGCGUAGAUAUGCGGAGGAACACCGAUGGCGAAGGCAGUCCCCUGGGCCUGUACUGACGCUCAUGCACGAAAGCGUGGGGAGCAAACAGGAUUAGAAACCCGAGUAGUCC
Molecule: ribosomal RNA, 449 nt
Filed under: uncultured bacterium
Lineage: Bacteria
Description: partial 16S ribosomal RNA
Rfam family: Bacterial small subunit ribosomal RNA
Source: RNAcentral